Long non-coding RNA from Branchiostoma floridae (Florida lancelet), 464 nucleotides. RefSeq lists it as uncharacterized. The transcript is spliced from 2 exons. NCBI's taxonomy places the organism in Eukaryota, Metazoa, Chordata, Leptocardii, Amphioxiformes, Branchiostomatidae. The record is from RefSeq and is a predicted model, not a curated record.
AAACAACACCUGGUUUAAAACCGUUUAUUCAAUAACAUGUCUUGAUACAUUCGGGGAAACAAAUAGUGUACAAUAUGUUGGUCAGGUUGUACCUGACAUAUUCAAACGUUGAUCACAGAAAUAGAUUACGAGUACCCAAACUAAAAAAUAUUUUGUUUUUAGUGUUCUUGGACAAGAUGACUUUCUAUGACAGGGUGGCUAGUUUUGUACUAGAAACUCCACAAAAUACACGAAAUAUAAAGUGAGAACAAAAGGUCUGAAUGGAAGAAAUACAUGGAAAGAAUACAGCACAAGAAAUACAUCAAUUUGUACAAUGUAUAGCAUUUUUUAACAGCGACUUCUGGCUACAGUCAAACCCAGACACCAUCAGAACACAGUACGUACAAUGUUUGACACCGUAAAACCAACGGUCCUUAACUUAGGAAGGUUAGAAAAGACUACUAGUAGUUUUAUUUGUCCUGAUA